GGGGACAUUGGGAAAGCGCAACAGCGGAUGCGCGCCGGUUCGAUUCCGGCUGUCCCCC
This 58-nucleotide transfer RNA is filed under the name Agathobaculum faecis. RNAcentral describes it as "tRNA-OTHER". The record is from RNAcentral. Lineage: Bacteria; Bacillati; Bacillota; Clostridia; Eubacteriales; Butyricicoccaceae.